UAUAAGCACUAACACCAGGGGUGCAGGUUAUGAGCUCUCAACAUAAUUCACAUCAUCAAUGAUUCAUAUAAAUAACAUAAAACUCACCUGUGCGUCCACAACAUCAAUUCACAUAUAUAUAUAUAUAUAUAUAUAUAUGCAUCAAUUAUCAAUUCAUAUAAUUCAUAAUAUGCAUGCAUGGCAUCUUAAAAACAUACUUUCUUUUAAAUUCAAUUUCUGGGAAUUUCAGUAGUAUAUAGGUAAUAACAGAAAAUAACUGCCCACUCACUGGUAAGUCGAAGGGUCGUAACCCCCGUGACGUCCCUGGAUGCGCUCGUCAUCGGGAUAGGUAUCACCUAUAUGCGAAACAACUAUAAAAAUGUUAAUUAAAGCACAUAACCGACAAUUUGUAAUAACUUCUCAUACGGUGCUCAAUUUGGAUAUAUGAAUGUACCACAGUGACCUACUCGACGUCACGGACGUCGAGGUAUUUUUAGAAAAAAAAUUUCGAGGCUGCACGCGCCCCUACGGGCCGGGAGGGGCACGGACCUACGUGCUCACGCACAUCAUCUUCUUCCUCCAGUCGCCGGACUGGUUUUUCCGGUCACCAGAAAACUGGAGAUUUUUCAAUUGCCUUGUUCUCCGUCAUUUCUCAACCAUUUUUCACGCAUUUUAUAUCAAAAUGAAGCCCCAAGCAUGUAGAAUCACGAUGUACUAGUUUAAGGCUCUAAAAAUGACGAAAUCUCACCGGAGAAAUUCCAAGAAAACCGGCCAACUUCGAACUCAGUGAUCCCGACGUCCAAAACUUCAAACUAAGCACUUCGAGCUUCCUUAGGACCUCACUAAGCUCACUGUAAGCUUAGAAUUUCCUGAAAAUCAACAAUUCACGUGUGCAUGAACAGUGAUUUCAAAAUGGGGUUCGGAUUUCACGUGAUUUCGAAGGUUCUAAGUUCUAAAAAUUGCACCAUUCGAAUCAGGAGGUUGAAAGGAUGAAGAACCUCACCUUAUUGGCGUCGAUCCGUGAUGAUUCGAGGGUUUUGUUCUUUGUCCGUACAAUUCGAAGGGAGAGAGAGUGAACUGAGAAGAUGAGAGAGAGAGAGAGAGCACGGGGGAGAGAAAGGCAAGGUGUCCCGUGUGUGUGUGUGGUCCAUCCCAAAACAAGUCCAACCUCUUUCCCUAACCACACAAAUUGCAAAUAAUUUUUAAUCCAUUUCAAAUUUUCCAAACUUAGGAAAAUAUGCAUUAUUCCAUAAUAUGUCACACACAUACCUUAGCAUCCGUCAAGGACAAUUUCGUCAUUUCACAACCUCGAUAAAUAGAAUCUCGGGACGGGUUGUGACAAUUAUCCCUCAACCAAGUUAAAAGUGUUCAAAAUAGGUAUUAACUUAAAACCUAAUUUAUUCAUAU
Molecule: long non-coding RNA, 1386 nt
Filed under: Malus domestica (apple)
Lineage: Eukaryota; Viridiplantae; Streptophyta; Magnoliopsida; Rosales; Rosaceae
Description: long non-coding RNA (MDOM_LNC013827)
Source: RNAcentral